RNAcentral lists this ribosomal RNA (250 nucleotides) under uncultured bacterium. Its description in RNAcentral is "partial 16S ribosomal RNA". It matches the Rfam family "Bacterial small subunit ribosomal RNA", at positions 524 to 773 of the family's 1533-position model. The record is from RNAcentral.
UACGAAGGGUGCAAGCGUUACUCGGAAUUACUGGGCGUAAAGCGUGCGUAGGCGGUUUGUUAAGUCCGUUGUGAAAGCCCUGGGCUCAACCUGGGAAUUGCAGUGGAUACUGGCGAGCUAGAGUGCGGUAGAGGAUGGUGGAAUUCCCGGUGUAGCGGUGAAAUGCGUAGAGAUCGGGAGGAACACCCGUGGCGAAGGCGGCCAUCUGGACCAGCACUGACGCUGAGGCACGAAAGCGUGGGGAGCAAAC